Molecule: ribosomal RNA, 253 nt
Filed under: uncultured bacterium
Lineage: Bacteria
Description: partial 16S ribosomal RNA
Rfam family: Bacterial small subunit ribosomal RNA
Source: RNAcentral
UACGUAGGGGGCUAGCGUUGUCCGGAAUCAUUGGGCGUAAAGCGCGUGUAGGCGGUCCGGUAAGUCCGCUGUGAAAGUCGGGGGCUCAACCCUCGGAUGCCGGUGGCUACUGUCGGGCUUGAGUACGGAAGAGGCGAGUGGAAUUCCUGGUGUAGCGGUGAAAUGCGCAGAUAUCAGGAGGAACACCAAUUGCGAAGGCAGCUCGCUGGGACGUUACUGACGCUGAGACGCGAAAGCGUGGGGAGCAAACAGG